AGCAAAGACUUCCUGCAGCUGGUUCACUUGGGGUCCUGUCCCCUAACCCAUGGACACCGUCUCACAUGGCGCCUGCUGGGAGAAAGGGCCAGGAUUCAACCAGGCCUCGCCCCCCUGAGUUUCCCAAGGUUGGAUAGAGCUUGUGGUCCUUUCCCAGGACCCUGGAAGACCUUCCCAGGAGAACCACUGGGAGGCCACUGGCCUUUCGAUUUCCUCACCAUCUUCCUGGAGGUCCUACCGGUCUAAGCAAGAAGGUCGCCAAGCCCUGGGAGUGGAGUCACAGAGAGGGGAGGACAUCCCCGACACUGCCUGCGUUCUGUGGGAAGCGGCCUCCCUGCUAAGGGCCCAGGGUCCUCUGAAGUACCCUUGGAUGGGGCCAGUCUACAGUCGAACUCAUCCUGUGACCAGCGCUGGUUCCAUGAGAAGAAUCCAAGGGGUUCACUCUCAAUGAGGCUUCUCCCCGCCAGCAAUGUUGGAGCCAGACGGGGAGGUGGGGCAAGGAGACAAAGCUGGCUUCCCCUGCAGUCUGAUUCUAUCAUGAGUCCCAGCAGGAGAGAGAUGGCAACUCAGUGUUUCCCUGACCGGUCUGUGAGGGAAGAGAAUAUAAUGAACGGAUGACUGAUAAAGAUGAGGGGAGGAUGGAGCAAGAGCCAUCAGCCUUGGUCAAGGGUGGAGCUCCCUUCUGGUUUCAGAAAUUGCUUCUGACGUGAUUCAGGAACCCAGCAAGGACUGUACCUGAAGCGGGGGUCGCUGUGGCCUCCCAUACCGGAACCAGCCCUGCCACUGCCCCUCCCAUCCCCCACAGGCCCUAGAACAAUGCACGCCCUGGGGCUCUUCCCUCCUGUGCUCCUGUUUCCUGCUGGUGUCCACUGUGGACUGACGUCCACCAGCGCUGGAAGGUGAGGAACCUCCUAGGACAGUUUAUCCAGCUCAGCCUCUGGAGAUGGGGCAAGGCGGACAAGAAAGAGAAGCAGAUCUGGAGGGACAAACAGAAUAUCCCGAACGGUACUGAUACACAGGACAAAGGAACACACUAGAAUCCAGCCAUCAUUUACUGAGCACUAACUGGGGACCUAGCACGAGGACACGCUGUCAAGCUAAGGAGGGGCUUUGAGUAGAAGGAAAAGUGAAAGGACGUCCUCAGGGACAGAAGACUGGCAUCCAGACCCAGAGGGAAGCAGGCACCCCAGGCAGGCAGAGCAGGAGCAGAGAGACUGCAAAGCCCCUUUCGGGGUCCUGGUUCCUGUUCUCUGAAGAGGCCUUGUGGCUUGUAUUUGUGAAAGUCCCUUGAUUGCACACAAUUUCCCCUUUACAUAAGACAGCUUGAGGAAGUUUCAAUUUUUUAAAAAAAGAUUUUAUUUUUUUGACAGAGCUUGUGAGCA
RNAcentral lists this long non-coding RNA (1382 nucleotides) under Neogale vison (American mink). Its description in RNAcentral is "Neovison vison (American mink) lncRNA (ENSNVIG00000018387.1)". The record is from RNAcentral. Lineage: Eukaryota; Metazoa; Chordata; Mammalia; Carnivora; Mustelidae.